This 468-nucleotide ribosomal RNA is filed under the name uncultured bacterium. Its description in RNAcentral is "partial 16S ribosomal RNA". It matches the Rfam family "Bacterial small subunit ribosomal RNA", at positions 28 to 507 of the family's 1533-position model. The record is from RNAcentral.
GACGAACGCUGGCGGCGUGCUUAACACAUGCAAGUCGAACGGAAAGGCCCUGCUUUUGUGGGGUGCUCGAGUGGCGAACGGGUGAGUAACACGUGAGUAACCUGCCCUUGACUUUGGGAUAACUUCAGGAAACUGGGGCUAAUACCGGAUAGGAGCUCCUGCUGCAUGGUGGGGGUUGGAAAGUUUCGGCGGUUGGGGAUGGACUCGCGGCUUAUCAGCUUGUUGGUGGGGUAGUGGCUUACCAAGGCUUUGACGGGUAGCCGGCCUGAGAGGGUGACCGGCCAAAUUGGGACUGAGAUACGGACCAGACUGCUACGGGAGGCAGCAGUGGGGAAUAUUGCACAAUGGGAGGAAGCCUGAUGCAGCAACGCCGCGUGCGGGAUGACGGCCUUCGGGUUGUAAACCGCUUUCGCCUGUGACGAAGCGUGAGUGACGGUAAUGGGUAAAGAAGCACCGGCUAACUACGUG